This 371-nucleotide ribosomal RNA is filed under the name uncultured bacterium. Its description in RNAcentral is "bacterial SSU rRNA". It matches the Rfam family "Bacterial small subunit ribosomal RNA", at positions 527 to 896 of the family's 1533-position model. The record is from RNAcentral.
GUAGGUGGCAAGCGUUGUCCGGAUUUAUUGGGCGUAAAGGGCGCGCAGGCGGUUCGUUAAGUCCGAGGUGAAAUCUCCUGGCUCAACUGGGAGGGGUCUUCGGAUACUGGCGGACUUGAGGAGUGCAGAGGUGAGUGGAAUUCUCGGUGUAGUGGUGAAAUGCGUAGAUAUCGAGAGGAACACCAGUGGCGAAGGCGGCUCACUGGGCACCACCUGACGCUGAGGCGCGAAAGCGUGGGGAGCGAACCGGAUUAGAUACCCGGGUAGUCCACGCCGUAAACGAUGGACACUAGGUGUGGGGGGUAUUGACCCCCUCCGUGCCGAAGCAAACGCGAUAAGUGUCCCGCCUGGGGAGUACGGCCGCAAGGCUA